ACGGUACCUGACUAAGAAGCCCCGGCUAAAUACGUGCCAGCAGCCGCGAUAAUACGUAGGUGGCAAGCGUUAUCCGGAUUUACUGGGUGUAAAGGGAGUGCAGCCGGGAGUUCAAGUCUGAUGUGAAAUCCCGCGGCUCAACCGCGGAACUGCAUUGGAAACUGUCGUUCUGGAGUGCCGGAGAGGCAGACGGAAUUCCUAGUGUAGCGGUGAAAUGCGUAGAUAUUAGGAGGAACACCAGUGGCGAAGGCGGUCUGCUGGACAGUGACUGACGGUGAGGCUCGAAAGCGUGGGGAGCAAACAGGAUUAGAUACCCUGGUAGUCCACGCCGUAAACGAUGGAUUACUAGGGUGGUGCGGGGGGCGGCCCCCGCCGUUCCGCCAAGUUAACACCAGUAAUUUUUCAGCUUGGGAGGUAGGUUGGCAGGUAUGAAAUUAAAAGAAUUGGAGGGGGCCCGCCCCAGCCGGUGGAGCUGGGGUUUUAUUUGGAACCAACGGGAGGACCUUUACCAGCCCUGGCCUUCCCGGUGACGGAGCAUGUAGGGUCCUUUCCUUUCGGGGCAGGGGAGACAGGUGGUGCAUGGUUGUCGUCAGCUCGUGUCGUGAGAUGUUGGGUUAAGUCCCGCAACGAGCGCAACCCCUGUCCCCAGUAGCCAGCAGGUGGAGGUGGGCACUCUGGGGGGACUGCCGGGGACAACCCGGAGGAAGGCGGGGAUGACGUCAAAUCAUCAUGCCCCUUAUGGCCUGGGCUACACACGUGCUACAAUGGCGCAGACAGAGGGAGGCGAAGCGGCGAGGCGGAGCAAACCCCAGAAAUGGCGCCCCAGUUCGGAUUGCAGUCUGCAACCCGGCUGCAUGAAGCCGGAAUCGCUAGUAAUCGCGGAUCAGAACGCUGCGGUGGAUACGUUCCCGGGUCUUGCACUCACCGCCCGUCA
This 934-nucleotide ribosomal RNA is filed under the name uncultured bacterium. Its description in RNAcentral is "bacterial SSU rRNA". It matches the Rfam family "Bacterial small subunit ribosomal RNA", at positions 472 to 1399 of the family's 1533-position model. The record is from RNAcentral.